UACGAAGGGGGCUAGCGUUGUUCGGAAUUACUGGGCGUAAAGCGCACGUAGGCGGGUAUUUAAGUCAGGGGUGAAAUCCCAGAGCUCAACUCUGGAACUGCCUUUGAUACUGGGUAUCUCGAGUAUGGAAGAGGUGAGUGGAAUUCCGAGUGUAGAGGUGAAAUUCGUAGAUAUUCGCAAGAACACCAGUGGCGAAGGCGGCUCACUGGCCCGGUACUGACGCUGAGGUGCGAAAGCGUGGGGAGCGAACAGG
This 253-nucleotide ribosomal RNA is filed under the name uncultured bacterium. RNAcentral's name for it is "partial 16S ribosomal RNA". It matches the Rfam family "Bacterial small subunit ribosomal RNA", at positions 524 to 776 of the family's 1533-position model. The record is from RNAcentral.